AGGUUGACCUCGGAUCAGGUAGGGAUACCCGCUGAACUUAAGCAUAUCAAUAAGCGGAGGAAAAGAAACCAACAGGGAUUACCUCAGUAACGGCGAGUGAAGCGGUAAGAGCUCAAAUUUGAAAGCUGGCUCCUUCGGGGUCCGCAUUGUAAUUUGCAGAGGAUGUUUCGGGAGCAGCCCCCAUCUAAGUGUCCUGGAACGGACCGUCAUAGAGGGUGAGAAUCCCGUAUGGGAUGGGGUGUCUGCGCCCAUGUGAAACUCCUUCGACGAGUCGAGUUGUUUGGGAAUGCAGCUCUAAAUGGGUGGUAAAUUUCAUCUAAAGCUAAAUAUUGGCCGGAGACCGAUAGCGCACAAGUAGAGUGAUCGAAAGAUGAAAAGCACUUUGAAAAGAGAGUUAAAAAGCACGUGAAAUUGUUGAAAGGGAAGCGCUUGCGAUCAGACUCGCCUUGGGGGUUCAGCCGGCAUUCGUGCCGGUGUACUUCCCCCAGGGCGGGCCAGCGUCGGUUUGGGUGGCUGGUCAAAGGCCUUUGGAAUGUAACGCCUCUCGGGGCGUCUUAUAGCCAAGGGUGCCAUGCAGCCUACCUGGACCGAGGAACGCGCUUCGGCUCGGACGCUGGCAUAAUGGUCGUAAGCGACC
RNAcentral lists this ribosomal RNA (637 nucleotides) under Penicillium crocicola. RNAcentral describes it as "eukaryotic LSU rRNA". It matches the Rfam family "Eukaryotic large subunit ribosomal RNA", at positions 1 to 649 of the family's 3401-position model. The record is from RNAcentral. Lineage: Eukaryota; Fungi; Ascomycota; Eurotiomycetes; Eurotiales; Aspergillaceae.